RNAcentral lists this ribosomal RNA (2057 nucleotides) under Verrucomicrobia bacterium ADurb.Bin118. RNAcentral's name for it is "bacterial LSU rRNA". It matches the Rfam family "Bacterial large subunit ribosomal RNA", at positions 14 to 2115 of the family's 2925-position model. The record is from RNAcentral. Lineage: Bacteria; Pseudomonadati; Verrucomicrobiota.
AGAGCUUAUGGUGAAUGCCUUGGUGCCAGGAGGCGAUGAAGGACGUAGUAAGUUGCGAUAAGCCACGGGGAGCCGCAAGCAGGCUGUGAGCCGUGGAUUUCCGAAUGGGAUAACCCAGCCAGUUUAACCGCUGGCUAUCGCCGGAUGAAUGCAUAGUCCGGCGAGGCGACACGGGGUGAAGUGAAACAUCUCAGUAACCCCAGGAAAAGAAAACGAAAUGAUUCCGUGAGUAGUGGCGAGCGAAAGCGGAGGAGGCCAAACCGGAGGGACUUGUCUCUCCGGGGUAGCGGGACCUCGACGUGGGCAGCGGAGAGUUAGCAGAACGCUCUGGAAAGGGCGGCCACAGACCGUGACAGCCGGGUCUGCGAAAACUUGAAGCGCCCUAGAGGGAUCCCAAGUAGCACGGUGCACGUGAAACUCUGUGCGAAUCCGUCCGGACCACCGGAUAAGCCUAAAUACUCCCUGGCAACCGAUAGUGAACUAGUACCGCGAGGGAAAGGUGAAAAGAACCCCUUCCAGGGGAGUGAAAGAGUACCUGCAACCAUGAGCUUACAAUGUGUCGGAGCGCCGCAAGGCGUGACGGCCUGCCUUUUGCAUAAUGAGUCUGCGAGUUAUUGUCAGUGGCCAGCCGAAGGUUCUCUGAACCGAAGGCGAAGGGAAACCGAGUGUGAAGAGCGCGACCAGUCGCUGGCGAUAGACCCGAAGCGGAGGUGAUCUACCCUUGAGCAGGUUGAAGCUGCGGUAACACGCAGUGGAGGACCGAACCCGUGGUUGUUGAAAAAUCCUGGGAUGACUUGAGGGUAGGAGCGAAAGACUAAUCAAACCCCGUGAUAGCUGGUUCUCUCCGAAAUCGCUUGAGGGCGAGCGUCGGGCCAGUACUCGGAGGAGGUAGAGCACUGAAUGGCUUAGGGGCCCCACCAGGCUACCAAAACCAAUCAAACUCCGAAUUCCUCCGAUCCCCGUACCCCGGCAUUUAGGCUGCCGGUGAUAAGAUCUGCAGCCGAGAGGGCAACAGCCCAGACCAUCAGCUAAGGUGCCCCAAUGUGAUUAAGUGGAAAGGAUGUGACGUUACUCAGACAGUGAGGAUGUUGGCUUAGAGGCAGCCAUCAUUUAAACAGUGCGUAAUAGCUGACUCAUCGAGCGAUGUCGCGCCGAAGAUGAUUGGCGAUCAAAUCACAUACCGAAGCUAUGGAUUGAAUCCCGGUUCGCCGGGGUUCAGUGGUAGGAGAGCGUAAUCAACGCGGUGAAGCUGGACGGAGACGGAAAGUGGAGCGUUGAUUAGUGAGAAUGCAGACACGAGUAGCGAGAAAACAGGUGAGAAUCCUGUUCGCCGUAAACCCAAGGUUUCCUGGGCCAGGUUCGUCCCCCCAGGGUUAGCCGGGAGCUAACGCGAGGCCGGAAGGCGUAGCGGAUGCACAGCAGGUUAAAUAUUCCUGCGCCGGCCCGGGUUAAGACUGUGAAUGACGCGUUGAGAAAAGUGACUAAGCAAUCGAAUGCUGAGCCUAGGCUUCGGCCAAAGCGCAUCACCGGACAAGGCGCCGAGAAAAGUUUGCAGUUGUUCCCCGGGUCGCCCGUACCGUAAACCGACACAGGUGGGUGGGUGUAAAUGCACUCAGGCGCGCGAGAGAAACUUCUCUAAGGAACUAGGCACAUUUGCCCCGUAACUUCGGAAGAAGGGGUGCUCAAGACCGCGACAGCAAUGUGGCGGUGGCGAGUCUCAGUAAAUUGCGUUUAGCGACUGUUUAACAAAAACACAGCACUCUGCCAAGUCGUGAAGACGACGUAUAGGGUGUGACACGUGACCAAUGCGGAAAGAUUAAGAGAUCUUGUCAGCCGCAAGGCGAAGCUCGGUCUUUAAGUCCCCGUGAAUGUCGGCCGUAACUAUAACGGUCCUAAGGUAGCGAAAUUCCUUGUCGGGUAAGUUCCGACCUGCACGAAUCGUGUAACGACCGAACGACUGUCUCGGAGAGGAUCUCGGCGAAACUGUAACGGCGGUGAAGAUGCCGCCUGCCCGCAGUAGGACGGGAAGACCCUAUGCACCUUUACUGUAAGCUCGU